AGAGUUUGAUCCUGGCUCAGGAUGAACGCUGGCGGUAUGCCUAACACAUGCAAGUCGAACGGAACCUUCGGGUUUAGUGGCGGACGGGUGAGUAACGCGUGAGAAUCUGCCUCUAAGAUGGGGACAACAGUUGGAAACGACUGCUAAUACCCGAUAUGGCGAAAGCUGAAAGAUUUAUCGCUUAGAGAUGAGCUCGCGUUGGAUUAGCUAGUUGGUAGUGUAAUAGACUACCAAGGCGACGAUCCAUAGCUGGUCUGAGAGGAUGAGCAGCCACACUGGGACUGAGACACGGCCCAGACUCCUACGGGAGGCAGCAGUGGGGAAUUUUCCGCAAUGGGCGCAAGCCUGACGGAGCAAUACCGCGUGAGGGAGGAAGGCUCUUGGGUCGUAAACCUCUUUUCUCAAGGAAGAUAAUGACGGUACUUGAGGAAUAAGCAUCGGCUAACUCUGUGCCAGCAGCCGCGGUAAUACAGAGGAUGCAAGCGUUAUCCGGAAUGAUUGGGCGUAAAGAGUCCGUAGGUGGUAAUUCAAGUCUGUGGUUAAAGCGUGGAGCUCAACUCCAUAUCGGCCAUGGAAACUGAAUAACUAGAGUGAGGUAGGGGUAGAGGGAAUUCUCGGUGUAGCGGUGAAAUGCGUAGAUAUCGGGAAGAACACCGGUGGCGAAAGCGCUCUACUGGACCUUAACUGACACUGAGGGACGAAAGCUAGGGGAGCGAAAGGGAUUAGAUACCCCUGUAGUCCUAGCCGUAGACGAUGGGAUAACUAGGUGUUGCGCGUAUCCGACCCGUGCAGUGCCGUAGCUAACCGGCGGUUUAAGUAUCCCGCCUGGGGAGUACGCACGCAAGUGUGAAACUCAAAGGAAUUGACGGGGGCCCGCACAAGCGGUGGAGUAUGUGGUUUAAUUCGAUGCAACGCGAAGAACCUUACCAGGGCUUGACAUGUCUAGAUCUCGGCGAAAGUUGAGAGUGCCUUCGGAGCUAGAACACAGGUGGUGCAUGGCUGUCGUCAGCUCGUGUCGUGAGAUGUUGGGUUAAGUCCCGCAACGAGCGCAACCCUCGUCCUUAGUUGCCAUCAUUAAGUUGGGCACUUUAGGGAGACUGCCGGUGACAAACCGGAGGAAGGUGAGGACGACGUCAAGUCAGCAUGCCCCUUAUGCCCUGGGCUACACACGUACUACAAUGCUACGGACAAAGGGCAGCCAACCAGCAAUGGCGCGCUAAUCCCAUAAACCGUGGCUCAGUUCAGAUUGCAGGCUGCAACUCGCCUGCAUGAAGGAGGAAUCGCUAGUAAUCGCAGGUCAGUAUACUGCGGUGAAUCCGUUCCCGGGCCUUGUACACACCGCCCGUCACACCAUGGGAGUUGGUCACGCCCGAAGUCGUUACCCUAACCGAAAGGAGGGGGACGCCGAAGGUAGGGCUGAUGACUGGGGUGAAGUCGUAACAAGGUAACC
Molecule: ribosomal RNA, 1450 nt
Filed under: uncultured bacterium
Lineage: Bacteria
Description: bacterial SSU rRNA
Rfam family: Bacterial small subunit ribosomal RNA
Source: RNAcentral